This is a long non-coding RNA of Bombina bombina (fire-bellied toad), 848 nucleotides long. RefSeq lists it as uncharacterized. Lineage: Eukaryota; Metazoa; Chordata; Amphibia; Anura; Bombinatoridae. The transcript has 2 exons. The record is from RefSeq and is a predicted model, not a curated record.
ACUAAAGCUGAAAUUAAACUUAAAAGCUACCUAAUUAACCCCUUUACUGCCGGGAAUAAUAGAAGUGUGGUGCACAUCUGCAAUUAGCGGCCUUCUAAUUACCAAAAAGCAAUGGUAAAGCCAUAUAUGUCUGCUAUUUCUGAACAAAGGGGAUCCUAGAGAAGCUUCUACAACAUGAUGUGACUUUGUGAUAACAUACAUAAAACGAGGAAAAGCCUACUGACAGUAUGAUGUGACUAAAGUGACUGUCACAUGAAGUACAUCAGGAUUAGCUCCUCCAAAUAAGGAAAAUGGUAGUAAAAUUUGUCCACUGGAAAAUUUUUGCAUAGACCAUUACAUUACAGGCAAAGCGGGCAAAAUAAUGAAAGUAUAAUGCAAAGUUGUUUUAUUAUUUAUAAUUAAAUAAUUCAUGUUAUAAUCACAAAGUGUAUCAUGCCCAUGUAAUAGGGACAGACUAUUGCUGAACAGACUUUAUCUAAUUAUUUUGCAUAUCUAACUUUAUACUCAUUUAUUUGAUGUUGUUUUCUAUUACAGAAACAUGUCAAAGGGUCUAUAAAGACAUUACUGACCAUGAAAUGAGAAGAUGCAUAGGGGAUUGCCAAUCCCACACAAUAAUUGUUUGUGGUCACAGGCCGGUGCCAAAUUCAAGAUCAUAGAACAGAUACAGAUGGACAUCAUAUUAUAUUUUUAUUGUUCUGUCAACAUUAUUGUGCAUCUGCAUUAUACUUGUACCCUAGGCCUAUAAUAUAAGUUAUUCUCUGGUUUAUUACAAUGUCAUAUUUAAAAUGUUUUAAUACCUGGAAAAUUUGAAGCCUAAUAAAAGUUUAAAUUACUUUUGUAAGAGUCAA